This is a long non-coding RNA of Myotis brandtii (Brandt's bat), 358 nucleotides long. RefSeq lists it as uncharacterized. NCBI's taxonomy places the organism in Eukaryota, Metazoa, Chordata, Mammalia, Chiroptera, Vespertilionidae. The record is from RefSeq and is a predicted model, not a curated record. The transcript is spliced from 2 exons.
ACACACACACACACACACACACACUGACAUCUGUCCUCCCCACCAGGAAGGUGUGGCUACCACCUGCUAUGCAACUUGGAGGGAGUUGAACUCCCCUGGGGAAAACGGUUCCCCAGGAGCUCCCCUCCAUGGACCCUGACAGCAGCCAGACUGCCCUGUCUCCUUGGAGGGCAGGCUGUCCCGUGGAGAGCGCUGCACAGGGCUCAGGACCGGGACCAGGGACCAGGGCUGCCACCUGUCCCGUGUGACCCUGUGCAACUCACUAACCCUCCCGGGCCUCAGUUUUCCUCUCCUGUGAAGGGGACACUCAUUCCUACCUCAAGACUUUUCAGAAUAAAACGAAACAACACAAACUUUA